AAGGACCUAUUAAGCAAAUAGACCACUAGUCCAGUAUGCGCGGAUCCUACCCUAGAUCGGGUCACCUCCUGGAUCUGGUCAUCGAACGAUGCCGUUAUGAAGCUAUUAUGUUAGCAUCAAACGGCGACAUUUUAGUCUCGUGUUUAAAAACAAAAUAAACCUAAAAAUCUAACACUUCUACUUUAGAAAGAAAAAAAAACUAAACCUAAACUUCCCCCCCUGCGCCGCUCGACAAAUCUUCGACCUUAAGGGCCCUCGAACCUCGCCCAAACUCUGAUGGAUACGGAGAGAGCGGAGGUCCGGCCACAAGGUACGCUUCCC
Molecule: long non-coding RNA, 321 nt
Filed under: Gossypium raimondii (Peruvian cotton)
Lineage: Eukaryota; Viridiplantae; Streptophyta; Magnoliopsida; Malvales; Malvaceae
Description: long non-coding RNA (GRAI_LNC001906)
Source: RNAcentral